Octopus bimaculoides (California two-spot octopus) is the source of this 114-nucleotide non-coding RNA. The record is from Rfam. NCBI's taxonomy places the organism in Eukaryota, Metazoa, Mollusca, Cephalopoda, Octopoda, Octopodidae.
GUCGGGUAUGGUGAUAUGGUGCCUUCUACUAACUUGGGUUAUGUAGUUGGCUCAUUCUGUGCCUUGACUGGUCUUCUCAUGAUUGGUUUCACUGUGCCCAUUAUAGUUAAUCAC